GGAGACUUCACAUCUCCAAAUAUAACCUUCUUCGCCUGACAAUCUAUAGUGGCCUGGUGCUUAUCCAACCAGUCCAUCCCAAGAAUGAUAUCGAAAUCGUGCAUACACAUCGGAAGGAGAUUAACGCUACGAAUCUUAUCCUCAAAACUGAUCGGACAUCCUCGAUACAAAUCAGAAAUAACUACAGAAGUCCCCAUCGGGGUAGCAAUAGACAUCACAGAAUCUAAAGACUGAGAUGGCACACCCAGGUGCCGAACAAAAGACUGAGCAACAAUGGAAUGAGUAGAACCGGUAUCAAACAAAAUAGACGCCUCACGAUUGCCAACUAAAAGAGUACCAGAAACAGUACCUGGUGUACCUGCCACCUGGUUAUGCGUCAAGGCAAACACUCGAC
Molecule: long non-coding RNA, 394 nt
Filed under: Panax ginseng (ginseng)
Lineage: Eukaryota; Viridiplantae; Streptophyta; Magnoliopsida; Apiales; Araliaceae
Description: long non-coding RNA (PGIN_LNC000572)
Source: RNAcentral